RNAcentral lists this long non-coding RNA (311 nucleotides) under Mytilus galloprovincialis (Mediterranean mussel). Lineage: Eukaryota; Metazoa; Mollusca; Bivalvia; Mytilida; Mytilidae. The record is from RNAcentral.
AAAGAUUUUGGAGUAGACGUCACGGCAAAAGCUGGGGCUGAUUUAGAGGCGUUCGCCAAAAAGGGACACUUAAUUGGAGCAGAAAUAAAAGCUAGCGGAACAUUGGUAGAUGCUUCAGGAGGCCCUUUUAGGGUUCAUCUCGGAGUUGGUGUUUCAACCGGGGCUAAGUAGAAAAUGUGACCGUAGAGGCAAAGCUUGCUGGAUGUGGACUCAAACUUGGGGAACGAAUUGGAAUUGCUAUUUUAAAUAAAGAAAUCACCGUUGAAGCGCUCUCACUUUUUGGAAAAGGAUGGCUUUGGGGAAGUUUGGAC